AGAGAUGCAUUGGGCUUAAAGCGUGCGCAGGCGGUUUUGUAAGACAGAGGUGAAAUCCCCGGGCUCAACCUGGGAACUGCCUUUGUGACUGCAAGGCUGGAGUGCGGCAGAGGGGGAUGGAAUUCCGCGUGUAGCAGUGAAAUGCGUAGAUAUGCGGUGGAACACCGAUGGCGAAGGCAAUCCCCUGGGCCUGCACUGACGCUCAUGCACGAAAGCGUGGGGAGCAAACA
RNAcentral lists this ribosomal RNA (230 nucleotides) under uncultured Alicycliphilus sp. RNAcentral's name for it is "partial 16S ribosomal RNA". It matches the Rfam family "Bacterial small subunit ribosomal RNA", at positions 548 to 774 of the family's 1533-position model. The record is from RNAcentral. Lineage: Bacteria; Pseudomonadati; Pseudomonadota; Betaproteobacteria; Burkholderiales; Comamonadaceae.